ACGAACGCUGGCGGCGUGCUUAACACCUGCAAGUCGAACGGUGAUGCUCCAGCUUGCUGGAGUGGAUCAGUGGCGAACGGGUGAGUAACACGUGAGCAACCUGCCCCAGACUCUGGAAUAAGCGCUGGAAACGGCGUCUAAUACUGGAUACGAAACUGGCCCGCAUGGGCAUGGUUUGGAAAGUUUUUCGGUUUGGGAUGGGCUCGCGGCCUAUCAGCUUGUUGGUGAGGUAAUGGCUCACCAAGGCGACGACGGGUAGCCGGCCUGAGAGGGCGACCGGCCACACUGGGACUGAGACACGGCCCAGACUCCUACGGGAGGCAGCAGUGGGGAAUAUUGCACAAUGGGCGAAAGCCUGAUGCAGCGACGCCGCGUGAGGGAUGACGGCCUUCGGGUUGUAAACCUCUUUCAGCAGGGAAGAAGCGAAAGUGACGGUACCUGCAGAAGAAGCACCGGCUAACUACGUG
This 467-nucleotide ribosomal RNA is filed under the name uncultured bacterium. RNAcentral's name for it is "partial 16S ribosomal RNA". It matches the Rfam family "Bacterial small subunit ribosomal RNA", at positions 29 to 507 of the family's 1533-position model. The record is from RNAcentral.